UGUGGGACUGCGAUGGUGUGACA
RNAcentral lists this non-coding RNA (23 nucleotides) under Arabidopsis thaliana (thale cress). The record is from RNAcentral. Lineage: Eukaryota; Viridiplantae; Streptophyta; Magnoliopsida; Brassicales; Brassicaceae.